This 708-nucleotide long non-coding RNA is filed under the name Brachypodium distachyon (stiff brome). RNAcentral describes it as "long non-coding RNA (BDIS_LNC000786)". The record is from RNAcentral. Lineage: Eukaryota; Viridiplantae; Streptophyta; Magnoliopsida; Poales; Poaceae.
UUUUAUCGUUGCCAUGUAAGAUUCAUGUUCCGGUAUAUAAGAGGUUUAUCAUACAAUUCCGAAGACUUAAAAUGUGAACUAGUAUGCUGUCCUGUAACUCACAAUGCAGAGACGUUACUGAAAGCAGAGAAUGACCGAGGCAACUUUCACCUCGAUCACCAAUCAUCACGCAAGUCUAACUACAGACCAAUUUAGUUUUGAUACAGAUUAUAUUGAUGCAUUCAAAACAGUAGCCGCUACUUAAGCUUUACACAUUACAAAGGCUGCCGGCCGGAGAUCGAGCCGACGUUGUUGUACAGUUUCCCUGCACACGCACGGAGGCGUACGUGCAGGCAGGAUAAUGAACCAAUCACUUGAUCAGCUUCUCCCUCUCAUCUCUCUCUGAACUUAGCUCAAGGGCCAUAGAUGUUCCUAGGAACGACGAUGUCGCCGAUGUUGUUGUGCCACGGGUCCGCCAGGUGCGCGCCCAGGUUCUCCAGCGGGCCGGUGCCGGGGUACGCCGACUGCUGCACGCAGAAGCCCACGAACGCCAGCAUCGCCAGCCGCCCUGCAUCAUCAUCAGAGACAAGAUCAUACUACAUCAGCACCGAACGCUACACGCACUGCAGAUGGUUAAGAUUCAGGGGAUGGCACGUACCGUUCUUGAUCUCCUUGAGCUUGAGCUCCUCGAACUUGGCCGGGUCCUUGGAGAAUCCCAGCGGGUCGAAG